This 597-nucleotide unclassified non-coding RNA is filed under the name Aspergillus fumigatus. Its description in RNAcentral is "partial contains ITS1, 5.8S rRNA and ITS2". The stretch from base 218 to 371 matches the Rfam family "5.8S ribosomal RNA". The record is from RNAcentral. Lineage: Eukaryota; Fungi; Ascomycota; Eurotiomycetes; Eurotiales; Aspergillaceae.
CUUCCGUAGGUGAACCUGCGGAAGGAUCAUUACCGAGUGAGGGCCCUCUGGGUCCAACCUCCCACCCGUGUCUAUCGUACCUUGUUGCUUCGGCGGGCCCGCCGUUUCGACGGCCGCCGGGGAGGCCUUGCGCCCCCGGGCCCGCGCCCGCCGAAGACCCCAACAUGAACGCUGUUCUGAAAGUAUGCAGUCUGAGUUGAUUAUCGUAAUCAGUUAAAACUUUCAACAACGGAUCUCUUGGUUCCGGCAUCGAUGAAGAACGCAGCGAAAUGCGAUAAGUAAUGUGAAUUGCAGAAUUCAGUGAAUCAUCGAGUCUUUGAACGCACAUUGCGCCCCCUGGUAUUCCGGGGGGCAUGCCUGUCCGAGCGUCAUUGCUGCCCUCAAGCACGGCUUGUGUGUUGGGCCCCCGUCCCCCUCUCCCGGGGGACGGGCCCGAAAGGCAGCGGCGGCACCGCGUCCGGUCCUCGAGCGUAUGGGGCUUUGUCACCUGCUCUGUAGGCCCGGCCGGCGCCAGCCGACACCCAACUUUAUUUUUCUAAGGUUGACCUCGGAUCAGGUAGGGAUACCCGCUGAACUUAAGCAUAUCAAUAAGCGGAG